RNAcentral lists this transfer RNA (71 nucleotides) under Parcubacteria group bacterium RIFOXYD2_FULL_52_8. RNAcentral describes it as "tRNA-Trp". It matches the Rfam family "tRNA". Rfam says of the family: Transfer RNA (tRNA) molecules are approximately 80 nucleotides in length. Their secondary structure includes four short double-helical elements and three loops (D, anti-codon, and T loops). The record is from RNAcentral.
GGGGGCUUGGUAAAGUGGCAUCACAUCUCUCUCCAAAAGAGAAGUCGGGGGUUCGAUUCCCUCAGCCCUCG